AGGUGAGAUAUCAUGAUCAAGAAGGUGGUUCUCCCAGGGCGAAGCUCAGCCAUUGCUUCGGUUGUGCUGACCCCUGUGAAUUCCUUAAAUGUGGGAAUCUUGACU
This 105-nucleotide small nuclear RNA is filed under the name Dicentrarchus labrax (European seabass). Its description in RNAcentral is "U1 spliceosomal RNA (ENSDLAG00005028239.1)". It matches the Rfam family "U1 spliceosomal RNA", at positions 14 to 121 of the family's 166-position model. Rfam says of the family: U1 is a small nuclear RNA (snRNA) component of the spliceosome (involved in pre-mRNA splicing). Its 5' end forms complementary base pairs with the 5' splice junction, thus defining the 5' donor site of an intron. Lineage: Eukaryota; Metazoa; Chordata; Actinopteri; Moronidae. The record is from RNAcentral.